Molecule: long non-coding RNA, 2014 nt
Organism: Ictalurus punctatus (channel catfish)
Lineage: Eukaryota; Metazoa; Chordata; Actinopteri; Siluriformes; Ictaluridae
Source: Ensembl
AAAAAAACCCAGCUAGAAUAUUGUUUUGUAAAGAAAUCUUGAAUAGUACAGUUGAUUGCAAACGCUUGCACCCCUGAUGUUUUAAAAUUAGAAAACAAAAUCUACUGUUAAUGUGCUUUUCAUCCCAACCCCUACAUCAUUCAUUUCAGCCUUUCUUCACACAUCUCAAUUCCUCCUUCACUCAUCCCAGCCCCUCCCUUUUUCAUCUCAAAUGCUCCCUCGUACAUCCCAAACCCUACAUCAGUCAUGCCAACCAAUCCCCUUUUCAUCCCAACACCUUCCCAACCUCAAGAGCCAAGCCUUCAUACCCCACCAUACCAAACCUCAUCUGGAUCUAACGUCAGUCUUUCCACCUCUUUUCCACCAGUCCCACCUGCCAAAGCGACCGCUCACUCAUCCCUCCUCCUAUAGAUUCGAUCUAAUCAAUGUUUGCCAAAAAAAUCUCCAAAGUGGGGAUAUUCCCUGCACUAUUAACAUCAGCCAUCUAAUCCUCUCGUUCAAAUCUUCCAACUCACACUCUCCUAAAACACUCACUGGUUCUGCACUGGCCUUUUCUGCCUACCACAGCGUAAUCUUGCUCUGACUUCUCACCUAAUCGAUAGGAACUCCAUGACUACCUUGACAUAAUAUCAGUUCUAUCUGUUCACUUUGAUGGAACCAGCUUUGGUGAAUACAGUUGUCUCUUCUCAGCCCACGCCUCAGCAUAAAGUUGCUGUCUGGAUUUAGAACUGUACUGCUGCAUCUUAACUGUGGCAUAAGUGGCUCUCCGUCCCAUCUUGUAUCCUCAUGCUUAGUGGCUACUGUUCAUCCACCAAUUUGAUAUGAAUUUUUAUUUUAUUAUUUUAAGAUUUAAAAUGCAGGACAUCAGGACUCUGGGAUUAUACAAAUGGCAGUGGAUUGCAUUUUCUGAGGCUGGGAAUGUGGUAUUAUUGCUCUACUAAAAAAGUAAGACGUUAAGUAUAGUAACUUUAUCUUCACUUCCUGGUUGGAGACUAUGUGAAUUAUUGUUUUUUUGUUUAGCCCCCCCCCCCCCCCCCCAAAUGAUGUAUUAUUUUGUUACAUUCUUAUUAUUAUUUUAUUAUUUUCUUUGUUACUGUACAGAACCAUGCAGGAACCCCUAGUGAAUGUGAUGCAUUACAUGCUUUUCACCACAGACCUGUAACAUGUAUUUACAGGAAACACAAUGUAUGAGAACACUAAUGAGCCUACCUUUUUUGAAAACCAGGAAGUUUUUUUCGCUUUGUGUUUUCUCCGGGGCAAUGAAAUUAUAAAUGUUCCUAUAUUAAACUUAGUUUGUGGUUUUAAUCAGAUUCUACGCCAUGCCAUAUUAUUACACUUUUCCGCCAGACAGAAGAAUACGGUUGCAGCAUUUUGACAGUUUUCACUGCAAUGUGAGUAGAACCAUACCCAAGCACUUAUGCUACAAUCAGUUAGCCUUCUUACCCAGGUUCCAUGCAUAGAAGUGCAGAACAGGGGUUUAACACAAUGCCAUUGUCAGUAUAUGUAUCUGUUCAGAGCUCCAAGUAUUCCUAACAGUAUCUGCAUUCGGACUUAAACUAGAUGUGGGUGUGGCCUAAAUUACAAGGUUUUUUUUGUUUGUUUGUUUUUUUGUUUUGUUUUAUUUUAAACCCCUGCCUGCAUAGCCAUUAUUUUUGUUUGUUUUGUACCUGUUGUAUUUUCUAACGAGUUUAUUUGGUUCAAUUUCGCAGAAUAUAAACAAACUUGUAGCCCAUUUAAACUCUGAUGAACCUGACCAGGCAGUUACUAAGGAUGACUGAAUGAAUGCAAUAAAUGCAUUGCUGUAAAUACGUCAUUCACAUUCAUGUUAAUGACUGUGAUCUUUCGUUGUCCCGAGAGCUUCAUAUCUGACAGUUCAGUCGCAAGAAAAUAAAAACCUCCUGCUAGUGUGACUUUUUUUGUUUUGUUUUUUUUGGUUUCUUACACAAUAUGCCAGGUCCAAUGCACACCAUUAGCCUCGACCAGAUGCCAUGGGAACCUUUCUAGCAAGAUUAAG